Molecule: long non-coding RNA, 239 nt
Filed under: Glycine max (soybean)
Lineage: Eukaryota; Viridiplantae; Streptophyta; Magnoliopsida; Fabales; Fabaceae
Description: long non-coding RNA (GMAX_LNC003549)
Source: RNAcentral
AUUAUCCAAGUCAUAUGAAAAGUUUUGCCCUCCGUGCCAAUAAACAGCUUCAAAAUAGACAAAACAUAACAAUUAAAAUCAAUGCAAACAAUCUCAUCACAUAAAAUUGAAGAAACUCUUUGCAAACAAAGUUUAGAUUUUCUUAUGUGACAUUAUACUAACUAGUGAAAAUUUAGCCCUUAAUUUAAAUCUACAGAGAGAUCGAGAAUUUAAAUAAUAGAAGAAAAAAAAUUAUGGAG